GUUGAGGUGGCUGAAUUUAGGCGUUAAACUGUAAAUUUAUUUAUGAGAAAUUUUUCUCUCUUAACA
Molecule: non-coding RNA, 66 nt
Organism: Agrilus planipennis (emerald ash borer)
Lineage: Eukaryota; Metazoa; Arthropoda; Insecta; Coleoptera; Buprestidae
Source: the annotation of a RefSeq genome assembly